Molecule: ribosomal RNA, 253 nt
Filed under: uncultured bacterium
Lineage: Bacteria
Description: partial 16S ribosomal RNA
Rfam family: Bacterial small subunit ribosomal RNA
Source: RNAcentral
UACGGAGGGUGCGAGCGUUGUCCGGAAUCACUGGGCGUAAAGGGCGCGUAGGCGGCCUGGUAAGUCGGGGGUGAAAUCCUGCGGCUUAACCGCAGGGCUGCCUUCUAAACUGUCAGGCUCGAGCACGGUAGAGGCAGAUGGAAUUCCCGGUGUAGCGGUGGAAUGCGUAGAGAUCGGGAAGAACAUCAGUGGCGAAGGCGGUCUGCUGGGCCGUUGCUGACGCUGAGGCGCGACAGCGUGGGGAGCAAACAGG